RNAcentral lists this unclassified non-coding RNA (1758 nucleotides) under Hevea brasiliensis (rubber tree). The record is from RNAcentral. Lineage: Eukaryota; Viridiplantae; Streptophyta; Magnoliopsida; Malpighiales; Euphorbiaceae.
AGACGGUUCAGAAAGCAAAAUUGGCAGAUUUCCUUGCAACGCCCAUUUCCCCUCUGGUUUUUCUGCUGUUGAUUUCCGGUUAAGCUUGGUUUUGAAAUUGUUUACCAAUUUAAUUGGAACCCUAACUAUUCCCAGACUUAGUGAAUUUCAUCCAAUCCCAAUGGCUUUGUGAUAGCAAAUAGCCAUAACUGUCUUCUGAGCUGCUAAGUUUCUUCUUGUUUGAGUGAUGGACUCUCUGCUUGCCAACUAUGCUUCUUCAGAUGAUGAAGAGGAAAACCAUCAUCAAAGCUCUCCCCCUGCACCCAAGCCAGCGUUAUCUUCAUCUCUUCUCUCUUCCCUCCCACAGCCUAAAUCUUCCUCUCUCUUCUCUACUCUUCCCCAACCCAAACAGCAGUCCUUUACUCCCAUAAUUCAGCAUAAUAAUGGUAACAGUAAUAAAAAUAGCAUCAAGGAAGAUGAAGAUGCUCCAAAACCCUCUCCCAAACCCUCUUCUUCUCUUUUCUCUUCCCUCCCUAAACCUAAAACCCAAUCCCCACAAGAAGCCAUCUCAAAUCUCUCAACCUUAGGCCCCAAUCUCAAAAGGGUUGUGCAAUUCAAGCCCCCCAUUAACCCCAUUAAUCUAGAUUCCACUGAUUUUGAUGAUGAGGACGAAGGAGAAAAGGAGAAAAAACGGUGCAAGGAAUCUGAAACUUUGUCACAAUCUUUGUCUGUGAAGUCAUUCUUGUCCAGCAUCCCUGCCCCCAAGAAUUCCUCUACAUUAGGUGUUCUUCCAUCUGCAGCAGGGUCUGGAAGGAGAUCCAUCAUUGAAAAUAAAGUACCCACCUCAAGUUCAGCCAGCUUUGGGACAGAGAAUGAUCAAAUUGCUGAAAAUUAUGAGAGUUAUGGUGGUGUUUCUGGGAGCCAUGAAUUGGGUUCUGAUCAAAAUGGAGGGAAUUAUGCAAAUUAUGGGGGUUUUGCCAGUUAUGAAUCAGGAAUAAGUCAAGACAGCAGUCAAAAUAUUGUCACUGGACAUGAUGGCUCAGUGCAUGGGACUUACGAGAGUUAUGGAAGCUAUGGUAAUUAUGAUGAUUAUGAACAAUAUGGCAAUAAUUGGGGUGAUGGGACAGCAGCAGCAGCAGUGCCUGAGAGAACAGGGCCAAGUGAGAGCGCUUUGAGUGUGCCUGGGAAAAGAGGAAGGAAUGAUAUUCCAACUGAAAUUAUUGAGGUGAAGCAGGAUGAGCUGACUAAGAAUCGGCCUAGGGAGGACCAGGUCAAGUUAACUGGAAUUGCUUUUGGGCCAUCCUAUCAGCCUGCUUCUACAAAGGGAAAGCCUUCGAAACUUCAAAAGCGGAAGCAUCAGAUAGGUUCACUGUACUUUGAUAUGAAGCAGAAAGAGAUGGAAUUGUCAGAGCGGCGUGCCAAAGGUUUUCUUACCAAAGCUCAAACGCAAGCCAAGUAUGGAUGGUAAUGAUUUAUUUGAUUAUGAAACCUCAAAUUUAUAGCUGAUGAUCUGAAGAGGCCGCUCCUGUGUCAUAGACAUUUUCUCAUUCCAUCAGAAUCUCCUUUUGGCCAUAAGCCAGACCACCUUCAAUGUUAUAUUUUAUUUGGUUAAUUGUUUCCUAACAGAUUAUAGUUACGAUUUGUGUUAUCAUUUUGCAAUCUAAAGAUGGCAGAAUUACCUGUACUUCACCUGCUGGAGUUUAUGAAAAUGAUAUGGUGACUUCGUAAGUGUUGCAAUUUCACCCUAAUUGAACUUGUUGGAAAAGAAGGAUCCAAAAU